AAAACAACAGACCGAUGUGACACAUUUUACAGCGCUAAGCUAACGCUAACCAGAUUCAACAGUACAAGUAUUAUUUCUCUACUGCUAAAACUCACUGAACAAAGCAAAGAAGAGCAAAAAUAAAGGUCGCUUUAUGAAGCAGUGAUGAUGAAUUUUGUGUUACAUUUCCUUUUGUU
This is a long non-coding RNA of Sphaeramia orbicularis (orbiculate cardinalfish), 176 nucleotides long. RefSeq lists it as uncharacterized. The record is from RefSeq and is a predicted model, not a curated record. The transcript has 3 exons. Lineage: Eukaryota; Metazoa; Chordata; Actinopteri; Kurtiformes; Apogonidae.